ACUGCUCAGUAACACGUGGACAACCUGCCCUUAGGACGGGGAUAAACCCGGGAAACUGGGUAUAAUACCCGAUAGGUCUCGACUGCUGGAAUGCAUCGAGAUCUAAAGCUCCGGCGCCUAAGGAUGGGUCUGCGGCCUAUCAGGUAGUAGUGGGUGUAGUGUACCUACUAGCCUACGACGGGUACGGGUUGUGAGAGCAAGAGCCCGGAGAUGGAUUCUGAGACACGAAUCCAGGCCCUACGGGGUGCAGCAGGCGCGAAAACUUUACAAUGCUGGCAACAGCGAUAAGGGAACCUCGAGUGCCAGGUUACAAAUCUGGCUGUCGUGAUGCCUAAAAAGCAUUGCACAGCAAGGGCCGGGCAAGACCGGUGCCAGCCGCCGCGGUAACACCGGCGGCUCGAGUGGUAACCGUUAUUAUUGGGUCUAAAGGGUCUGUAGCCGGCCGGAUAAGUCCCUUGAGAAAUCUGACAGCUUAACUGUCAGGCUUUCAGGAGAUACUGUCUGGCUCGAGGCCGGGAGAGGUGAGAGGUACUUCAGGGGUAGGGGUGAAAUCUUGUAAUCCUUGAAGGACCACCAGUGGCGAAGGCGUCUCACCAGAACGGACCUGACGGCAAGGGACGAAAGCUAGGGGCACGAACCGGAUUAGAUACCCGGGUAGUCCUAGCCGUAAACGAUACUCGCUAGGUGUCGGCCACGGUGCGACCGUUGUCGGUGCCGUAGGGAAGCCGUGAAGCGAGCCACCUGGGAAGUACGGCCGCAAGGCUGAAACUUAAAGGAAUUGGCGGGGGAGCA
RNAcentral lists this ribosomal RNA (792 nucleotides) under uncultured archaeon. Its description in RNAcentral is "bacterial SSU rRNA". It matches the Rfam family "Archaeal small subunit ribosomal RNA", at positions 85 to 878 of the family's 1478-position model. The record is from RNAcentral.